This 163-nucleotide ribosomal RNA is filed under the name Enneapogon scoparius. RNAcentral describes it as "5.8S ribosomal RNA". It matches the Rfam family "5.8S ribosomal RNA". Rfam says of the family: 5.8S ribosomal RNA (5.8S rRNA) is a component of the large subunit of the eukaryotic ribosome. It is transcribed by RNA polymerase I as part of the 45S precursor that also contains 18S and 28S rRNA. Functionally, it is thought that 5.8S rRNA may be involved in ribosome translocation. The record is from RNAcentral. Lineage: Eukaryota; Viridiplantae; Streptophyta; Magnoliopsida; Poales; Poaceae.
CAAACGACUCUCGGCAACGGAUAUCUUGGCUCUCGCAUCGAUGAAGAACGUAGCAAAAUGCGAUACCUGGUGUGAAUUGCAGAAUCCCGUGAACCAUCGAGUUUUUGAACGCAAGUUGCGCCCGAGGCCUUCUGGCCGAGGGCACGUCUGCCUGGGCGUCACG